This 207-nucleotide ribosomal RNA is filed under the name uncultured bacterium. RNAcentral's name for it is "partial 16S ribosomal RNA". It matches the Rfam family "Bacterial small subunit ribosomal RNA", at positions 568 to 774 of the family's 1533-position model. The record is from RNAcentral.
CGGGUAGGCGGCCAAGAAAGUCGGGUGUGAAAGCCCAGGGCUCAACCCUGGAAGUGCAUCCGAAACUGCUUGGCUUGAGUACCGGAGAGGGUGGUGGAAUUCCUGGUGUAGAGGUGAAAUUCGUAGAUAUCAGGAGGAACACCCGAGGCGAAGGCGACCACCUGGACGGAUACUGACGCUGAGCCGCGAAAGCGUGGGGAGCAAACA